GAUGAACGCUAGCGAUAGGCUUAACACAUGCAAGUCGAGGGGCAGCAUGAUCUUAGCUUGCUAAGGUCGAUGGCGACCGGCGCACGGGUGCGUAACGCGUAUGCAACUUGCCUUACAGAGGGGGAUAACCCGUUGAAAGACGGACUAAAACCGCAUACACUUGUAUUAUUGCAUGAUAUUACAAGGAAAUAUUUAUAGCUGUAAGAUAGGCAUGCGUCCCAUUAGCUGGUUGGUGAGGUAACGGCUCACCAAGGCGACGAUGGGUAGGGGAACUGAGAGGUUUAUCCCCCACACUGGUACUGAGACACGGACCAGACUCCUACGGGAGGCAGCAGUGAGGAAUAUUGGUCAAUGGGCGAGAGCCUGAACCAGCCAAGUCGCGUGAAGGAAGACAGUCCUAAGGAUUGUAAACUUCUUUUAUACGGGAAUAAACG
RNAcentral lists this ribosomal RNA (434 nucleotides) under Porphyromonas gingivalis. RNAcentral's name for it is "bacterial SSU rRNA". It matches the Rfam family "Bacterial small subunit ribosomal RNA", at positions 28 to 452 of the family's 1533-position model. The record is from RNAcentral. Lineage: Bacteria; Pseudomonadati; Bacteroidota; Bacteroidia; Bacteroidales; Porphyromonadaceae.